RNAcentral lists this long non-coding RNA (199 nucleotides) under Medicago truncatula (barrel medic). Its description in RNAcentral is "long non-coding RNA (MTRU_LNC001636)". Lineage: Eukaryota; Viridiplantae; Streptophyta; Magnoliopsida; Fabales; Fabaceae. The record is from RNAcentral.
AUUAAUACAGUCAUCGUGGGAACGAUAUUUUUACUACUUCGAUGGUAUUUAGUACACUUGCUAAAAUAUCUAUCAGGAGGUAACUUCAUCUUCUUCCCAAGCAAUGUAGGCCUUUCUUCCUCUUGAGUUUUGAAAAAAAUAACCAUGUUCCUUUGAAAAAAAUCAUCAAAUCAUCAACAUAGAAAUAGUAAGAUGAUAC